This 590-nucleotide long non-coding RNA is filed under the name Homo sapiens (human). Its description in RNAcentral is "non-protein coding lnc-UBE2W-1:3". The record is from RNAcentral. Lineage: Eukaryota; Metazoa; Chordata; Mammalia; Primates; Hominidae.
GUCAGUUCUCUGUAGUGUUUGCCAAUGUUGGAGCCGUCUGCAAAGUGUCCCCGGCAAGAAGAGACGAUUUUGCCGUGUUCGCCAGGCUAGUCUCGAACUCCUGACCUCAGGUGAUCCGUCCGCCUCAGACUCCAAAAGUGCUGGGAUUACAGGCGUGAGCCACCACACCCAGCUGAGGAGGUGGAUUUUAUGAAACCAAAGAGGCUGCCUACCACAAGGACUUUAGCUUACUUUUUAAAGAUUGAAGAAAAAAAAGAAGACAGAAAAAGAAGAACUCAAAGAUACACAAAGUAAUUUGAACCAAGGCUCAGAAGUUUUUGGAGCCGUGAGGGAUACAGCAGUUUGGUCAAUAUUGUCUUAACAUGCUUCAAAUAAAUCAGCUUCUCUCCAAGAUAAAAUGGCAAACCCAAAAGAGAAAACUGCAAUGUGUCUGGUAAAUGAGUUAGCCCGUUUCAAUAGAGUCCAACCCCAGUAUAAACUUCUGAAUGAAAGAGGGCCUGCUCAUUCAAAGAUGUUCUCAGUGCAGCUGAGUCUUGGUGAGCAGACAUGGGAAUCCGAAGGCAGCAGUAUAAAGAAGGCUCAGCAGGCUG